AACCAACAGGGAUUGCCUCAGUAACGGCGAGUGAAGCGGCAAAAGCUCAAAUUUUAAAGCUGACAUCUUCGGUGUCCGCGUUGUAAUUUUGUGAGGCAUCUCCGGGUAGGGCGCCGGCCUAAGUUCCUUGGAACAGGACGUCACAGAGGGUGAGAAUCCCGUGCUUGGCUGGCUGUCCCCGUCCAUGUGAGGUGUCUUCGACGAGUCGAGUUGUUUGGGAAUGCAGCUCAAAAUGGGUGGUAAAUUUCAUCUAAAGCUAAAUAUUGGUGGGAGACCGAUAGCGCACAAGUAGAGUGAUCGAAAGAUGAAAAGCACUUUGAAAAUAGAGUUAAAAAGUACGUGAAAUUGUUGAAAGGGAAGCGCUUGAGACCAGACUUCGGUAAGGGGUGAUCAGCCGUCCUUCUGGGCGGUGCACUUGCCCCCCUCCGGGCCAGCAUCGGUUGAGGCGGCGGGAUAAAGGUCCCGGGAAUGUGGCUCCUUCACGGGAGUGUUAUAGCCCGGGUGAAUGCCGCCAGCUUCGACCGAGGACCGCACCCGCAAGGGUUAGGAUGCUUGGCAUAAUGGUCUUCAGCGA
Molecule: ribosomal RNA, 574 nt
Filed under: Morchella sp. Mel-14
Lineage: Eukaryota; Fungi; Ascomycota; Pezizomycetes; Pezizales; Morchellaceae
Also listed under: 2 other names
Description: eukaryotic LSU rRNA
Rfam family: Eukaryotic large subunit ribosomal RNA
Source: RNAcentral